This 69-nucleotide transfer RNA is filed under the name Schizosaccharomyces japonicus yFS275. RNAcentral's name for it is "tRNA-Ala (CGC) (tRNA-Ala-CGC-3-1)". It matches the Rfam family "tRNA". From Rfam's summary of the family: Transfer RNA (tRNA) molecules are approximately 80 nucleotides in length. Their secondary structure includes four short double-helical elements and three loops (D, anti-codon, and T loops). Lineage: Eukaryota; Fungi; Ascomycota; Schizosaccharomycetes; Schizosaccharomycetales; Schizosaccharomycetaceae. The record is from RNAcentral.
GGGGAAGUGGUUUAGGGUAUAACGUUUCAUUCGCAUUGAAAGCCCCGGGUUCGAUUCCCGGCUUCUCCA